Molecule: ribosomal RNA, 406 nt
Filed under: uncultured bacterium
Lineage: Bacteria
Description: partial 16S ribosomal RNA
Rfam family: Bacterial small subunit ribosomal RNA
Source: RNAcentral
AUUGAACGCUGGCGGCAGGCCUAACACAUGCAAGUCGAACGAGUGGCGGACGGGUGAGUAAUGUCUGGGAAACUGCCUGAUGGAGGGGGAUAACUACUGGAAACGGUAGCUAAUACCGCAUACCCUCGGAUGUGCCCAGAUGGGAUUAGCUAGUAGGUGGGGUAACGGCUCACCUAGGCGGCGAUCCCUAGCUGGUCUGAGAGGAUGACCGGCCCAACUGGAACUGAGACACGGUCCGGACUCCUACGGGAGGCAGAAGUGGGGAAUAUUGCACAAGGGGCGAAAGCCUGAUGCAGCCAUGCCGCGUGUAUGAAGCAGGCCUUGGGGUUGUAAAGUACUUUCAGCGGGGAGGCGUUACCCGCAGAAGAAGCACCGGCUAACUCCGUGCCAGCAGCCGCGGUAAUUC